GACGAACGCUGGCGGCGUGCUUAACACAUGCAAGUCGAACGGAAGGGCCCUGCUUUUGUGGGGGGCUCGAGUGGCGAACGGGUGAGUAACACGUGAGUAACCUGCCCUUGACUUUGGGAUAACUGCAGGAAACUGGGGCUAAUACCGGAUAGGAGUGCCGACGGCAGGGUGGGGGUUGGAAGGUUUCGGCGGUUGGGGAUGGACUCGCGGCUUAUCAGCUUGUGGGUGGGGUAGUGGCUUACCAAGGCUGUGACGGGUAGCCUGCAUGAGAGGGUGACCGGCCACAUUGGGACUGAGAUACGGCCCAGUCGCCUACGGGAGGCAGCAGUGGGGAGUAUUGCACAAUGGGCGGAAGCCUGAUGCAGCAACGCCGCGUGCGGGAUGACGGCCUUCCCGUUGUCAACCCCUUGCGCCUGUGACGAAGCGUGCAUGACGGUAAUGGGUAAAGAAGCACCGGCUAACUACGUG
This 468-nucleotide ribosomal RNA is filed under the name uncultured bacterium. Its description in RNAcentral is "partial 16S ribosomal RNA". It matches the Rfam family "Bacterial small subunit ribosomal RNA", at positions 28 to 507 of the family's 1533-position model. The record is from RNAcentral.